This 484-nucleotide ribosomal RNA is filed under the name uncultured bacterium. RNAcentral describes it as "partial 16S ribosomal RNA". It matches the Rfam family "Bacterial small subunit ribosomal RNA", at positions 28 to 507 of the family's 1533-position model. The record is from RNAcentral.
AUUGAACGCUGGCGGCAUGCUUUACACAUGCCAGUCGAACGGCAGCGCGGGCUUCGGCCUGGCGGCGAGUGGCGAACGGGUGAGUAAUGCAUCGGAACGUGCCCAGUAGUGGGGGAUAGCCCGGCGAAAGCCGGAUUAAUACCGCAUACGACCUGAGGGUGAAAGCGGGGGACCGAAAGGCCUCGCGCUAUUGGAGCGGCCGAUGUCGGAUUAGCUAGUUGGUGGGGUAAAGGCUUACCAAGGCGACGAUCCGUAGCUGGUCUGAGAGGACGACCAGCCACACUGGAACUGAGACACGGCCCAGACUCCUACGGGAGGCAGCAGUGGGGAAUUUUGGACAAUGGGGGCAACCCUGAUCCAGCCAUGCCGCGUGCGGGAAGAAGGCCUUCGGGUUGUAAACCGCUUUUGUUCGGGAAGAAAUCCUGUGGGCUAAUACCCCGGGGGGAUGACGGUACCGGAAGAAUAAGCACCGGCUAACUACGUG